RNAcentral lists this long non-coding RNA (1300 nucleotides) under Capra hircus (goat). Its description in RNAcentral is "lncRNA (ENSCHIG00010007864.1)". Lineage: Eukaryota; Metazoa; Chordata; Mammalia; Artiodactyla; Bovidae. The record is from RNAcentral.
AUGGCAACCCACUCCAGUAUUUUUCCUAUGACUUUCAUUCUUUGGUCUUUCUUAUACCAUCUCCUUCAGAACCACCCCUCACAUACCCACACCCACUGUCCCCUAAACUCAAACUCCUUCCCUCCUGGCUCUACAGAGCAAUUCUAUACAGACCAUGCCCUGGGGGCUUUCCUUCCCAACAAAGUGAUUUAUUUUUCCAAAAAAAAUGACUUUCCCAUUUAUGGUAUUUCAGCACCCAGCUUUAAAAUAAAAACAUUUCUCUCUACCAUAACACACACACAAUUAAUUUUAAUAAGUAAAAAGUCCAUAUUUCAUUAUGGUUUUAGUUUCCAUUUCCUUGUUCUUUUAGGUACUGAGGUCAUUCUUAGUGGGGGUUUUUUGUUUGUUUCUAUUUAUGUGUAUCUUCCAAGUAAAUGUUAACUUUUUAUCCUUUCUGAUGGCUUGCAUUUUAAUUUUGGCUAUGCCAAAGUGUUUUAAUUUUUAUGUAGUCAAUCUGCCAGUGUUUGUUCCUUGUGACUUCUUUAACCAUGUGUAACGUUCCUUGCUUUACCCUGGAAGUUUUUUUCUGAAAGUUUUAUGGUUUUUGUUUUUAUGUUUAUAUUUGGCGUUUUUUUUUUUUUUUUGACCAUCUAUUAUAAUUGGAAUAAUUCACCUGUGAUAUAAAAUAGAGCCUAAAUGAAAUUUUUUCCCCAUCUGCUAAUCAAACUUUACAAAGUCUUAUCACCCAGCAGAACCUGUGACACAUAAUGAAUUCUUACUAAAUGGUUACAGACAAUGAAUGCAUCUCUGUAUGCUGAGAAAACAACACUCUCUUCUUCCCUCACUGAACUCUGUUUUACUUGGGGACUUGAUACACUUUGGGAAAAGCGAAUUUCUAAUGGAAAUUGUUAGUCUUUCCCAAGUUGUGAAUCUACAGUAGGAGGUAGUCAGAAAAGACUUCAGCAUUACUCACAGGGCAAGGCCCAAAUACCCUCCUGGAUCUCUGACAAUAGAGGCAUGAGAACUGCAAAGGGAGCAAUAGAACAACGUCUAGGUGUAAGCAGCUGGUCUGGUUCUCUACCUGGAAAAUCCAAGAGCUAUCAGAAAAACAACAGGAGAAUAGAAGACAAACAGAAGAAUGUAGUGCGGUAGCACACUAUGAAAGCCAACAUAUGAAAAUCAAUAGCUUUCCCUAAAUCUAAUUAUGAAUAAAUUGAAUAUCAAUCAAAUUGACACUCAUUUUACAUAAUAACUGGCCUGUUCUCUUCAAAUUUAUUAUAGUUCAGUUCAGUUCAGUCGCUCAGUCGUGUCCGACUCUUUG